AGACCUAUGAAGGUCGAAGGGGAAGAAAAGCUGUAUCGAUUGUUGAGAUCUGGCGACUUGUUUAAAUUUCAUCAGCCUCACUUCUAUGAACUCUCAGGCCUCACGUGUACCAGCUCUCUGCUCUCCUUUGCCUUGGGACGUUCCAUCCCUGGAAGUUUCCCUGCCCACAUCUUUGUAGAGAGUCCAUUCUCCAAGCUUCAGUGUGUCAUCUGUGAGGACCGUGACCCACCUGGUACAUCGCCUCAGGGCAUUCAUUUCAGGCUCCUUCUAAAUGGCCAAGAGACAACACCAACAUUUUUGUAAUGGCCUGCAAGGCCUUCCGAGAUCUACCUCCUGCAACUCAGCUUCUCCUGUGCUCUCCUUCUGGACUCACUCUGCCUCAGCAACACUGGUCCCUGUUGCCCCACCAAUAUGCCAGCUGCACUGAUGAGGAAACUGAAACAGAAAAUCCAGAGUAAAUUCCACCAGGCCACACAGCAAGGUCUGAUAGAGCCAGGAGAGACUUUAUGAAAUCCAGACUCUCACACUAAUGCUCUAUCAGCUAGACCUCCAUGUGAGUCUCCCCAAUGUAGGUAGGAAGUGCUUUCCCUAAAAUGCUCAUAAAGCAAAUCAGAGCAAUGCUGCAUUCCAUGUGAUUUCUAAUUUGAAAUGCAAACAAUUGCCAAUUUGUUUGACUUGUAUUUAUAAUUAUUUCCUUGUGAAUUACUCAUCACUAAAUGCUUUAUAAAUAUUUUCUCUUUUUUUCCUCAAUGUCUAUGGAAUGAUCACAGCAUAGAAAAUGUUGGCUUUCAAGGAUUUAUUAAUAUCUCCUUUUGAAAUAACAUGUAUUUGUAAGACAGAAUAAAAUCACUUUAAAGAAACAAA
This 864-nucleotide long non-coding RNA is filed under the name Homo sapiens (human). RNAcentral describes it as "testis expressed 41". The record is from RNAcentral. Lineage: Eukaryota; Metazoa; Chordata; Mammalia; Primates; Hominidae.